RNAcentral lists this long non-coding RNA (824 nucleotides) under Lathyrus oleraceus (garden pea). Its description in RNAcentral is "Pisum sativum (pea) long non-coding RNA (PSAT_LNC031630)". The record is from RNAcentral. Lineage: Eukaryota; Viridiplantae; Streptophyta; Magnoliopsida; Fabales; Fabaceae.
AAAAGUGUAUACAAAAAGGAUUUUCCAAAGGCAGCCCAUAUAUUGUCCAUCGAUCAUUGAACAUCAUUUCAUAUUCUUCUUCAAUCUUAUAAUAUUUGUCUGAUCAAAUUCUAUGCCAAAAUCUUGGUAUUAUAGUUAUAAGUAUGACACUACAUUUCCAAUUUUAGAGUUUCUAUUUCUUGUCUUUUUUCAAUAUUUUCUGAUAGAAUUAUUUUAAUGUUUUUAGAUAUUAUGGCUUGGUGCGAAUGGACUUUUCACAUGAAUAGAUAUUGAAGAAGUCUGUGAUAAUGAUGCAGUUCAAGAUUUGGCUGUGGAAAUUAGAGUAUUACCCUCUUAGUGACAUAUAUUAUACAAUGUAAAACUCUAAAUAAUUAGAUAAUAUAAUAAGGAUAUAAUUUCUUCCACUGUUUUUUGAAUCUUUAUUUACUUUCUGUAUUGCCUUUUCAUUUCUUUGAUUAAUUUUCUUUCUUAGUUUGUUGUUGUCAAGGAGUUGUAUUUGGAAAAUUUCUAAUUCUUUGUGUCGAAGUCGAAAUAGUGAUUUUGUAUUUGACUGAGAGUUAAAAUUAAUUUGUAUAGAAUAGAGUCUAUUCGAUAGAAAGUCAAAUAUAAUAUGUCGAAACUUAUAGUGGAAGCAUCUAAUUAUCGAAGUAAUCGACAGAGUCGAAAUAGUUAAUUUAGCUUUGUUGUAGUUGAGUUAGUUAUUUUUUAAUUACUUGGAGUGUAAGUAAUCUCUUCUAUAAAUAGAGAGUAUUUCGUUUGUAAUGUAACUAAGUGAAAUAUACAACUUUGUAAUAGUUUUGUGUAGUUUCUGAAAACACAGUUGU